CCCGAAUUGAUCCACCGGUCUGCAAACCAUGAACAAGUUGCUCUCUUUACUCUUUUUCUUCUAUGCGCUUAUCUCUCUUUGUCAAUCCAGGAGAUUUGUAAUCAUAACGCCAAGCGUUCUUCAAGUAGGCAUUGAGCAUAAAGUGAUCGUCGCGUUCUACAGUGACGUCCGAAAGAAUGUCGGUGUGAAAGUCGACGUCGAACUGGAGGAUAGAACGAAGGUCUUUUCGGGAACAGCAGUACAAGCGUCAGGACAACAAGGUGGAUCCGUUCAAAUAUUUAUCCGGGUUCUUGAAGAAGCGCUAAAAAAUCUAUCACCG
This is a long non-coding RNA of Corticium candelabrum, 319 nucleotides long. RefSeq lists it as uncharacterized. The transcript has 3 exons. The record is from RefSeq and is a predicted model, not a curated record. NCBI's taxonomy places the organism in Eukaryota, Metazoa, Porifera, Homoscleromorpha, Homosclerophorida, Plakinidae.